This 1639-nucleotide long non-coding RNA is filed under the name Harpegnathos saltator (Jerdon's jumping ant). RNAcentral's name for it is "uncharacterized LOC112590572". Lineage: Eukaryota; Metazoa; Arthropoda; Insecta; Hymenoptera; Formicidae. The record is from RNAcentral.
CGAAUGAUUUAAACUGACCCUGACCGGUCCGUCCUUGGCCCAUGCCUUCGCCGCCACCGCCGCCGCCGCCGCCUCCGCCUCCGCCGCCACCGCGGAUCAGCUCCAUGCACGGACUGUUCUCCGGCCAUUUGGCCUUCAAAGUCUCCCAGGCAACGUUGACCGUGGCUCCGAUGGAUGGAGUUUCGCGCAGGAACAAUUAGGGACUGUGUAAUUGGAUGAUUCUUUUUUCUGAGGAGGAUAACGAGGCAAAGCACAAAAUUCCACAGUGCGUCCCCUAGCAAGACAAUCGGCGUAGAACGAUCAAUGCGAGCCCGUGCAAACAUCCCCGCGGAGACCACUAAGCUCUAGAUCAGUUCGCGCACAAGUGAUGUCUCUCGCUUGUAUCGACGAAGAGAGAGUGUCGCGCUUACCGAACGACAAGGGAUCUUCCGCUUCUGAUGUUCUUGCCCCGAGGAGAUGCCGCUCGCCCUCUCGGUCGGUCCUCGACGGUGGUGGAGUCUCGCGUGACGAUCGACGACGACGAGAGACGUUGACGAGUCGUAGAAGCGUUGCAGAAGCGGUUCAACUCAAAACGACCGCGACUCCGGAUGUAAACGGGGCUUCAUGAAGAGGUAGAAGAGAAAGAAAGAAGAGAAAGAGCGAGAGAGAGCGAGAGAGAGAGCGAGAAAGAGAGAGAGAGAAGAGUGAACGAAAGAAACAGACAGAGAGAGAGAGAGAGAGAGAGAGAGAGAAAGAGAGAGAGAGAAAGAAAGAGAGGAGGAUGAAACCGAGAGAGUGUCUAACUAGCCGGAUUGCGAAGCCGCAUGAUGAUGUUGCUCACCUACGAUCUACGCCGCGACUUGCGAGGCCAGAAUCGUGUGAGCCCUCGAUCCGCGGCAUCGACUAGCAGGGAACACGGCGGCGUUUCAAAGGGAUCGGGAGAUCGGGGGAAUAUGGCCAGCUUUCCCUGAACGCGCAAGGCUCGAUCGAUGGUCCACGAGAGAGGGACGUAUCAUCCCGCGUGCGCUCCUCUCGCAGUGCUGUAUCCGCGCCCCGCUUCACCCCGAACGGGGGUGAGACGAGCCGCGCAUCCCCCACGGCGAGAGCCGGGUUAAUGUAAUCGAGGCGCAUGAGUACUCGCUUGUGUUCGUUCGUUGAGAGCCGCGGAGAAAUUACGAGAUCCCGCGGAGUUUGUCGACUGAUCUCGGACGUCGGAGCCAACACUAGCGGACGAAGGCAUCGUCGUCUUGGAAGAAACGCUUGUUUCGCUUGUUUCGGGUUUUACUUAUUGUUAAUUACAAUUGAUCGCAGUCGCGCGCACUCGCAUUGAUUAGAUUCAAAAGACUCAGGGAUCUUGAUCGAAUUUAUUGAGCGAGAGAUUACGACUGAACAUGCAGAAUAAGUCGUUUGUUGCUUGCAAAUUCUAAAUUUGAUGCGGAGAGCACCGCUUCGAUCAGAUCGACGGCGCGGAUGAUUUUCUCCGCGAUUGUAGACUUUUUAAUUCUGCAAGAUGCUUCUCGCUUCAAGUUGCUUCUCGCGCGACAGAAGGUGAGUCGCGCAAAAGAAGGAACGAAGGCGGAAACGGGAUCGUUUGUGUAUCUCGAGGGGAUAUGAUGAGAUAGUCUGUUUUAAUAAAUAAAGAAACCAAUCCGCAUUUUUA